AAAUAGCUUGCUAUUUUGCUGACGAGUGGCGCACGGGUGCGUAACGCGUAUACAAUCUACCUUUUGCUGAGGGAUAGCCCAGAGAAAUUUGGAUUAAUACCUCAUGGUAUUAUUGAUAGGCAUCUAUUAAUAAUUAAAGGUUACGGCAAAAGAUGAGUAUGCGUCCCAUUAGCUAGUUGGUGAAGUAACGGUUCACCAAGGCAAUGAUGGGUAGGGGUCCUGAGAGGGAGAUCCCCCACACUGGUACUGAGACACGGACCAGACUCC
RNAcentral lists this ribosomal RNA (267 nucleotides) under unidentified marine bacterioplankton. RNAcentral's name for it is "partial 16S ribosomal RNA". It matches the Rfam family "Bacterial small subunit ribosomal RNA", at positions 73 to 339 of the family's 1533-position model. The record is from RNAcentral.